GACGAACGCUGGCGGCGUGCUUAACACAUGCAAGUCGAGCGGUAAGGCCCUUUGGGGUACACGAGCGGCGAACGGGUGAGUAACACGUGAGUAAUCUGCCUUUGGCUUGGGAAUAACUUCGGGAAAUUGGGGCUAAUGCCUGAUGUUUACUGUCUGCUGCAUGGUGGGUGGUGGAAAGAUUUUUUGGCCAGGGAUGAGCUCGCGGUCUAUCAGCUUGUUGGUGGGGUAAUGGCUACCUAAGGCUUUGACGGGUAGCCGGCCUGAGAGGGUGUUCGGCCACACUGGGACUGAGACACGGCCCAGACUCCUACGGGAGGCAGCAGGUGGGGAAUAUUGCGCAAUGGGCGUAAGCCUGACGCAGCGACGCCGCGGUGGGGA
Molecule: ribosomal RNA, 378 nt
Filed under: uncultured bacterium
Lineage: Bacteria
Description: bacterial SSU rRNA
Rfam family: Bacterial small subunit ribosomal RNA
Source: RNAcentral